Molecule: long non-coding RNA, 303 nt
Filed under: Homo sapiens (human)
Lineage: Eukaryota; Metazoa; Chordata; Mammalia; Primates; Hominidae
Description: HSALNT0117029
Source: RNAcentral
ACGCCUGGUAACCUCAGACUUUGGGACGACAGCCAUUCUGUUGGGUGUGUUGUGGCCUGCCUGCCAUUUCCCUGUCUUCUGACUUCCAUAGUAUCUGUCAUGAAGCCCACAGUCGUCAUUCUCACCUUUGCACCUCAGCAUGGAAUGGGUCUUUUCUCUCCAGCUACUUUUAAAAUGUUUUCUUUACCACCCGUUUUCAGCAAUUUGAUUGUGGUAGGCCUGCAGUGGGGCUCCCUGUUUCGGGAAUAGAGAGAAGAGUGAUGGCUGCAGCUGGAGAACCCUCCAAAUGUCCUCUGCAGAGAG